This 30-nucleotide non-coding RNA is filed under the name Mus musculus (house mouse). The record is from RNAcentral. Lineage: Eukaryota; Metazoa; Chordata; Mammalia; Rodentia; Muridae.
UAUGCUAUUAGAAUCUACUUUCUUAUGAUA